RNAcentral lists this non-coding RNA (161 nucleotides) under Alphaproteobacteria bacterium. RNAcentral describes it as "6S RNA". It matches the Rfam family "6S / SsrS RNA". Rfam says of the family: E. coli 6S RNA was the first non coding RNA to be sequenced, but its function was unknown until recently. It consists of 184 nucleotides that fold into an extended hairpin structure with a large single-stranded internal bulge. Lineage: Bacteria; Pseudomonadati; Pseudomonadota; Alphaproteobacteria. The record is from RNAcentral.
GAAGGGCUACGGGGCGCGUGAUCAGCCUUUAUCCCAGAGGCCGAUAAUCGUUCGCAUAGGGAGCUGUCCCUGCCAAGGCCGUGGCUUUGGUAUAUGGCGCCCACCUGUUUGACAGGGCCACAUGCGGAUACCGUUGCUGACACGGCCUCCGUGGCUUUUCU